AUGGCCGCCGGGAGGAGGCUGUCGGAGCUGCUCCAGGAGCAGCAGGAGCCGUUCCUCGUCGAGGCCGCCAAGAUUCGGAGGCCGCGGCGCGGCCGUGGAGGCGGCGGCGGAGGAGGAGGAGGGGCUUGCUGCCCCGUGGCCGCGUGCCAGCGGCUGCUCAGGCUCUGCAACCACGGCUUCAAGAAGAGGAGCGGCAGCAUUGGCGACCUGAGGUCCGCGCUGAGCAAGGCCAUGAGGAGCGCGUUCCGCUGGGAAAAUCUUGGCGGCGGGUGCUUCACCGGCGUCGGCGACCGCGAAUUCCGCCGGCUGCGGCGCUCCGCCGGUCACAGCGGCGAAUGCGAUGCCCGUGCCAUGGAGUUUGACGACGACGACGGCGACGGGUACGAGCGACAGGGAGCAGCGAGGUGGAAGACGGACAUGGAGGUGGACUCGUCGCGGCAGCUCAGCCCGGUCUCCGUCCUGGAGCUGCACUCCGACGACGAGUCUCCGGUGCAUUCCCGCUGGGAGGAGGACGAGAAGCCAUCGACCUCCGGGAGCUCACCGUCAGCACCAUCCUCAGACUUCCACGGCCCCACCUCGCCGUGCUUCACCUACGACGUCCACGGCGACAAGGCGCGCGCAAUCUCAAUGGAGGCGACAGAGGAAGAGGACGAAGAGACGGCCGGCAAGUCCAUCUUGGAGCAGAUCUCGUCGUGGGAGAGGAUCGCAGGGGACAUCUACAAGAUCCCCGGGAUGGUGGAGCUGGACCUGUCAGAGUCCGGGCAGCAAUGGAGGGGGCUCCAGCCUGAGGUCAGGGAGAUCGGCGCCAGGAUUGAGACCCUCAUCUUCGAGGAGAUCAGGAGGGAGACCGUAUGCGACAUGCUCGCCUCACACUGUACAUUAUUUUCACCAGCAGCUUCUUGUUGA
RNAcentral lists this ribosomal RNA (906 nucleotides) under Triticum aestivum (bread wheat). Its description in RNAcentral is "partial small subunit ribosomal RNA". Lineage: Eukaryota; Viridiplantae; Streptophyta; Magnoliopsida; Poales; Poaceae. The record is from RNAcentral.